RNAcentral lists this ribosomal RNA (877 nucleotides) under Cortinarius cf. porphyroideus. RNAcentral describes it as "partial large subunit ribosomal RNA". It matches the Rfam family "Eukaryotic large subunit ribosomal RNA", at positions 75 to 939 of the family's 3401-position model. Lineage: Eukaryota; Fungi; Basidiomycota; Agaricomycetes; Agaricales; Cortinariaceae. The record is from RNAcentral.
UUCCCCUAGUAACUGCGAGUGAAGCGGGAAAAGCUCAAAUUUAAAAUCUGUCAGUCUUUGGCUGUCCGAGUUGUAAUCUAGAGAAGCGUUAUCCGCGCUGGACCGUGUACAAGUCUCCUGGAAUGGAGCGUCAUAGAGGGUGAGAAUCCCGUCUUUGACACGGACUGCCAGGGCUUUGUGAUGCGCUCUCAAAGAGUCGAGUUGUUUGGGAAUGCAGCUCAAAAUGGGUGGUAAAUUCCAUCUAAAGCUAAAUAUUGGCGAGAGACCGAUAGCGAACAAGUACCGUGAGGGAAAGAUGAAAAGAACUUUGGAAAGAGAGUUAAACAGUACGUGAAAUUGCUGAAAGGGAAACGCUUGAAGUCAGUCGCGUUGUCCAGGGAUCAACCUUGCUUUUGCUUGGUGUACUUUCUGGUUGACGGGUCAGCAUCAAUUUUGACUAUUGGAAAAAGAUCAAGGGAAUGUGGCAUCUUUGGAUGUGUUAUAGCCCUUGGUUGCAUACAAUGGUUGGGAUUGAGGAACUCAGCACGCCGCAAGGCCGGGUUUUAACCACGUACGUGCUUAGGAUGCUGGCAUAAUGGCUUUAAUCGACCCGUCUUGAAACACGGACCAAGGAGUCUAACAUGCCUGCGAGUGUUUGGGUGGAAAACCCGAGCGCGUAAUGAAAGUGAAAGUUGAGAUCCUUGUCAUGGGGAGCAUCGACGCCCGGACCAGACCUUUUGUGACGGUUCCGCGGUAGAGCAUGUAUGUUGGGACCCGAAAGAUGGUGAACUAUGCCUGAAUAGGGUGAAGCCAGAGGAAACUCUGGUGGAGGCUCGUAGCGAUUCUGACGUGCAAAUCGAUCGUCAAAUUUGGGUAUAGGGGCGAAAGACUAAUCGAA